AGAGCAGCCUAGAUGAUCGCCCCGAAGUCUAUCUCUUUGGGGAGGAAAGUCCGAGCUCCAAAGGAUAUGCAUCCCGAUAAUGCGGGACACCUUGGCAUCUGUCGAGGGAGGAUUAGAGCCACAGUGACGAUGCCUUUGCCUUUGGCAAAGGAGUGAAACGCGCAAUCUCUGCAUGGAGCAAGGCCAAAUAGGGGGAGACGCUGCCUUUAACAGCAGCGACGAAGUGGUCCGCUUCGUCAUCAUUUCCGGGUAGGCCGCAAGAGUCAAGGGAGUAAUUCCUUGAGUUAGUCAAAUGAUCAUUGACCUCGCCCAUAAAAAAUCGAGGGAAACAGAACUCGGCUUAUGGGCUGCUCUUUUG
RNAcentral lists this RNase P RNA (358 nucleotides) under Candidatus Aceula meridiana. RNAcentral describes it as "RNase P RNA component class A". It matches the Rfam family "Bacterial RNase P class A". From Rfam's summary of the family: Ribonuclease P (RNase P) is a ubiquitous endoribonuclease, found in archaea, bacteria and eukarya as well as chloroplasts and mitochondria. Its best characterised activity is the generation of mature 5'-ends of tRNAs by cleaving the 5'-leader elements of precursor-tRNAs. Cellular RNase Ps are ribonucleoproteins. Lineage: Bacteria; Pseudomonadati; Candidatus Omnitrophota. The record is from RNAcentral.